This 446-nucleotide ribosomal RNA is filed under the name uncultured bacterium. Its description in RNAcentral is "partial 16S ribosomal RNA". It matches the Rfam family "Bacterial small subunit ribosomal RNA", at positions 338 to 795 of the family's 1533-position model. The record is from RNAcentral.
CCUACGGGUGGCAGCAGUCGAGAAUCAUUCACAAUGGGGGAAACCCUGAUGGUGCGACGCCGCGUGGGGGAAUGAAGGUCUUCGGAUUGUAAACCCCUGUCAUGUGGGAGCAAAUUAAAAAGAUAGUACCACAAGAGGAAGAGACGGCUAACUCUGUGCCAGCAGCCGCGGUAAUACAGAGGUCUCAAGCGUUGUUCGGAAGCACUGGGCGUAAAGCGUGCGUAGGCUGUUUCGUAAGUCGUGUGUGAAAGGCGCGGGCUCAACCCGCGUACAGCACAUGAUACUGCGAGACUAGAGUGAUGGAGGGGGAACCGGAAUUCUCGGUGUAGCAGUGAAAUGCGUAGAUAUCGAGAGGAACACUCAUGGCGAAGGCGGGUUCCUGGACAGUAACUGACGCUGAGGCACGAAGGCCAGGGGAGCGAAAGGGAUUAGAUACCCUAGUAGUC